UCCUCUUGCCAUUGGCUUCGCCGCAAGAUAAGUGGACGACCCCCUCUCCUCUUCUCCUCAUUUCACCAAUUAGCGUCGUGCGGAGGGACUGAGAGAAAUAGAGCGCCGGUGCCACCGUCGCUGCGCUUGGGUUUUGCCGUUAUUGCGACCUCGAAUCCAGCCAACAGAGUUCGCCGCAGCGCGUAGAGCAAGAUUAUAUCGGUGUUGGGCAUGGAGUAGUACCCAUUGGGUGUCAAUUCCUCGUCGGCGUCGAAGCAAAGCCCCAUCUGCAUGUUGCUUGAAUUCACCUCCACCCGGGAUUCCUGGUAUGGGCCUCUACUCGAUUCGUCGUUCAUCUAAGAAUCAAAUGGCGCUUCUCGCCUCGUGCUCUGUACCAGAAUAGCUGCGACCACCACGCUGAUUGGCGCCGUUGGCUGGGCCAUUAGGGGACAGGGCCCAUGCGUUAAAACCCGCGGUAGAAGUUUAGUGGUGGGAGUUCACCAUCUUUUCUUUGCCAUGAAUCGUCUCGCGGGGUGGGGAAAUUGGGAUCCAGGGUACCGGAACGGGAUCUCUGGCCAUGGCUCCGCCGUUUGCCGGUGUGCGCCGUCGCCGGUUCGGUUAGCUAUGAGGAUUUGGGGAGGGUUUUAUGCUGGCCCUUGAUCUAGAUUCAGGUGGCCACGGUUAGAUCUUAGGUUACCCCUUCGUUUUAAAUCGGGGCCAUGGAUCUGUGAUCAUAUGGUCGGGAGAGAGUUGUUGUCGCGGGAAAUCCUCGGCCAUCGAUCUUCGUGCGGGCGCUCGGUGUGAUAAACCAGUUCACGGAGAGGAAUAGAUUUAAUCUCGGCCGUCGAGUUUCGAUCGGACGACCAGGGUUCCAGGAUACCCCUUCGGCCAAUUCUUUUGCUAAAGACACCCUGAUCUUUCUCGAUAUAAAUCCACCGUCUACGUGCAGUGUAGAGUAAUUACAAUUGAACCAUGGAUUCUUACAAAUCAACCCCUGGCCUUUCACGUUUUUGUGCGCGCGGUCCAAAUAAAUUGCAGAUUUAAUAAAAUCAACUAGAAAAAGUUUUUUAGUAUAAAAAUAAUUCUAGAAAAUUAUUUAAUUCAUAACUAAUUCGUUUUAACUCCUUUUUAAUCUAUUCCAGUUGCAAUAAUUUUAUUUUAAUAUUGUUUAUCACCUAGUAACUCUGUUUUAUCAUGAAACAUAGAUUAAAUUUGUCCACUUAGUUUAUCCUGUAUCAACUACUUAAAAACUUCGAAAAAUCAUAACUUGUUAUCCAUAACUUCGAAUUUAGUGAUUCUUGAACCUACAAUCUCGUUACGAUGCAUAGAUUAUUAUCAUGCAUUAUGUUCUGAUGUUUGGUGUGAUGUUAAUUUAUGCUAUACCAUGUUUGUUUGUGUUGCUACGAGUAGUCGAGCAAGUGAUCGAGGACCCAGGUGCUCAGCAUGUGGAAAAUUUUGAGCAGGAGCUCGUUGAAGGAAAGUUAUGCCCUUGACCACUUUUAUUUACCCAAUAAUGUUCUCUAUAAUCAUUUUGGCAUGCUUAGGCUUAAUUUUGAUGGGACCCAAUAGGUCACACUAGUUUGGUUAUCUUUACACCUUGUUUACCCCUGAACUUUUGGAUAGUCUUUGCUAUUGCUAUAUGUGGUUUUGGGUGUUAAGAUAAUUAUUACACAUGGUCAUGAUUUAUUAUUGUUAUUCUAUUUUGUUCAUGAUAAGACUAUUAUGUUAAUAGGAACAUGGAGCUUAACUUGAGAAACACGUGCCACCACAAGGGUGGAAUGGGACGCCCUUUGCUGACUAAUUAGGAAAGCUAGUGGAGGUCUACCUUACCCGAAAGGGGCAAGGGAAGUAGGGGAGUUAUCGGUGUGGGGAGGUUCUCGGGUUGAUUUUGCUGCGAUGGCUUUUCAGACGGGGGAUUCCUGCAUUGCGCUCCCUAGAACUGUAGCGGGUUUUCUGAAGCUAGUGGAACUUUGUAAAGGCCUCGUAGUGUUACCCGGCCUCGCUUCCUGGUAGAGGUGUAUGGGAUUCAUGACCCCUUGGCAGAUGGGUAACAUGACUUGUGGGUAAAGGGUACAACCUCUACAGAGUGUAAAACUGGUAUACUAGUCGUGCUCGCGGUCAUUAGCAGCUCAGGACUCUUGCAUGAUUAAUUUAUGGAAUUAAAUUCAAUUUGUCAUUUGCAUCGCAUUAUGGUUUUAUUAUUAACUUUGAUCUAUUACUAGUUUGGUAUAUACUUACAUUUAGUAACUGCUAAUAAAAUCUGACCAACUUAUUAAAAGCAAUGCUCAGCUUUAACCCUUAUUUGUUGAUCAGCCUUACACUUCACAUGAGCUCCCACCUUUGGUGAGUUCAUGCACAUUAUUCCCCACAACUUGCUGAGAUAUGAUCUUUUGUGAGCUCACCCUUGCGACAUAUAAACCCCCCACAGGUGAAGAGCAGGUAGUCCAGGAGGAGGUCUACAACGAGGAGUACGAGAUUAUCUAGGUGGCGUCUUCCAGUCAGCUUUAUGGCGCCAAGGAAUAAUAUUUAGUUCGCUUUAUUGUUAUCAUUUAAUUUUGUAAGACACUACCGCUAUGUAAUAAUAUUUGUGAUAUUUAUCUCUGCACACUUGGUCAUUAUAUGUGUUGUUCUUCUUUGGCGCACAUAUGAGACGCACCCGGCUUUACCCCUUAAAUUCGAGUGUAACAGAAGUGGUACCCGAGAAAAUGUUGACUGUAGGACGAAACCUAGAUAGAACUGGUCAAAACCCUUACCUACUUACCUUACUCUGAUUCUUUCUAUACUUUUCUUGAUCAUGUCUCACCUUUGGUUGUUCCACUCUGACUAUUCUUAUCUUUUCUACUCUAGAAAGACAAGAAGGAUUUCACACCUUGGAAUCCUACAUAUAAGACCCUCUAAAGAGAUAGGGGACCUAAAAAAUAUAUAUUUUCUCUAUCUAAAAUGUUUGGAUGUUUGUUCUGAUGAUAAAUGCUUGAUUUGAUUCUUUGAUUGAUUGAAAUAGUAUAGCAGAGCAUUCUAGCAUGUACCACCAUAAGGUAAUAUAUUAGUAUUAGUAGGUGACACACUAAUCUACUGAACUAAUAAAACCCCCAAAAGAUCAUGUUUCGUAAUUACUUGUCUUACCUACAAUUCUAUCUUACCAUAUGUUUCUAACUGUGAUACCCGGUUUGCAAAGAAGUGAAGUUGGGGGUUAUUCUUUUUUUUUGUUUUUUUCUCAUUCGGGUGAUGCGCUUUGGGGAUUUGGAAUUUGUGGAAAACAUUCACUAGUAAGACAGUAUAAUUUCUUUGGUUAGACGCUUGCGACGGGGUCGGGAGCUGUCGCGUGGGCGAGUUGGGCCAUGAAUCUUGAUCCGGCCCAUUAGCCUCCCCUUAACCCUAGCCGCCCUCCCCCUAAUCCCCCCUUGUGCAGCCCCCCCACAUUUCCCCUAGCCCUUGGCCGCCCCCCUCCCAUCUCCUCCUCCCUCAAACUCUUGCAGCCACACCACCUAACCCUAGCCGCCCCCCAUCUCCUCCUCCUAAAGGUGCCAUUCCUUGCCGCUUGGAUCUUCGUCGCGUGGUGCAAGUCUCCAAUUGGUUUUGGUGGAGGGAAGAAGGGAGGAAGGAAAGGGGGAGAAUCCAAAGUGAUUUUGUGUUUAUUUCUUAUUUAUUUGUGCUGCAAUUCAAUUGAAUAGAUGUUGCGUAUGCGAAUUGGUAGAGGUGCUGUCCAGAAGUUUAGAGGGUGGGCGAACAACAGUAGUUCUACCAGUUUCUAGGAAAUUUUUCGUGGGUAAUUAGUGAUAAACAGUAUGAGAAUCAUGUAGAGCUUUGUCAUACCUUUCCAACGAGUACUUAUGCGCUCAAUUCGGAGUUAUAAAUUAGGAGAUAUCGCCGUUUGAACCCGGGUAUGUGGCUGUCCAAAGAAACAGAUUUCUGCAGGUGGGCGUACAGAAGUAGUAUUAGCAGUUUCUGGGGAUUUUUCGUGGGUAAUUAGUGAUAAACAGUAUGAGAAUUAUGUAGAUCAUUGUCAUACCUUUUCAACAAGUACUUAUGCGCUCAAUUCGGAAUUAUAAAUUAGGAGAUAUCGCUGUUUGAAUCCGGGUAUGUUGCUGUCCAAAAAAAAACAGAUUACAGAGUUUAUCUUGUGGACUAUUUUGGGCUAAUUAGAUGUUGGAAUUUAAUUAUAAACUGUAUACAAAACUUGUGGGGAAUUUUAUGUAGAUGCCUCUAGAGUUUUUGUUUGUUACCACUGCUGUCAUAAUUUUAAAGUUAUGAAAUUGUUAAGCAGCGCCGCUGCAGUUUGGUGGGUGUGGGGAGAGUUGUUACCCACGGCGGGGUUUGAGAUUGUGCGUAGGUGUGGCAUUGUUUAUGAGCGUUAUUAUGUGAAAUGGGUGCACUAAGUUGUGUGUCAAAAACAGGUGGUGGACUUCUGGAUCGUACUUAG
This 4399-nucleotide long non-coding RNA is filed under the name Zea mays. Its description in RNAcentral is "long non-coding RNA (ZMAY_LNC002522)". Lineage: Eukaryota; Viridiplantae; Streptophyta; Magnoliopsida; Poales; Poaceae. The record is from RNAcentral.